Molecule: long non-coding RNA, 484 nt
Filed under: Anser brachyrhynchus (Pink-footed goose)
Lineage: Eukaryota; Metazoa; Chordata; Aves; Anseriformes; Anatidae
Description: lncRNA (ENSABRG00000010482.1)
Source: RNAcentral
GUGGACCUGAUUUACAGAUAGAAGGAUGCUUUUGAAUUCAUGUUAUUGUGUUUGACAGCUUCUAGCUUCCCUGGGCAUUAGUAAUAGAAAGCCAUUGACAAGAGACAUUCAACAGCAAAACAGUAAGCUGGCCAAUAAAGUAGACAUAAUUGCACUAAAUCUUUUUUUUUUUUUUUUUUUUUUUUUUUUCAGAUCAAGAAUCUUUCCUGAGGAUGGGCUUUCAGCUCCUGAAGAUGGUGAGCAGGAAUCUUUCUAGUUGUUGCUGAUCCUUGCUGCCUCAUCAGCAAAACUGGUAUUUCUGGACUGGUAAAACUAGACAAGAGGAAAUGACCUUAAGUUGUGCCAGUUGGAUAUUGGGAAAAAUUUCUUCACUGAAAAGUUUGUGAAGUACUGGAACAGCCUGCCCAGGGAAGUAGUUGAGACACCAUCCCUUGAGAUCUUCAAAAAACAUGUAGAUAUAGAGCUUAGUGACAUGGUUUAGUGG